CAACGGCUCGCCGGCGGCCGUUAGCGCCGCGCGCCGCCUCCCCGUGCCGGCCCCGGUCCUCAAACUCAGCCACCGCGCGCACCCGUGUCGCUCCUGUGGGCCAGUCCCAAGCUCGGGGCACCCCACUUAGCUGCUUCUAGACCUGUGUAUACAUAUAUACAUACACGGAUAUAUAUUCGAAAUCUGCUGGCAGAGCAACGCUGCAGAACAUCUCGGGCCUCGUAGCUGUCUUGCUGAGGAACGCAGUGCCCUCUAACACCAGGAUGUGGCAACCAUAGUGCUGCACUGAUUACACGUCUCCUGCCUGUCAGCGGGAGCCCAGGCUUCACUCAGAGAAACAACACCAGGCUUAUUAAUGCACUUGUCUGUCAGCUGCCUUUGAGACAGAGGUUGUUCAAGGACAGAGCCACCUUCAAAAUCACAUUGCUGAUUUGGUUAAACGUCUGCGAGCAGAGACACACAGUGCUUGAAUGAUAUCACAGGUAGCUCUAUUAUUCCAGCCCUUGCCUAUCUUUUGGAUGUAUUUGUUUUAGACAGAGGAGCAUUUCUUUCAAGUGAGGUCCCCAAAACAGCAAUCACGGUACAUUGCCCCUUUGGCCUAUGCCUUCUCUUCUCCUCCACAAAUCUCAAAACUCCCCUCGCCUCUGCCCUUCUCUUUACCUACCUGCCUAUGAGCUGGCUUGGGGAUCACUGUGCCAUGCUGCCACACAGCCCUGGGCGUUCUUUGCUCUUGGGCAUGUUUCUCAUGCAAGUUGGCAUAUAGUCAGCCAAGUCCUCCCGUAUGCUCUCACUAAGUGUGUAACUCAUUAAUUUUAAGGAGUUUUAAGUUCACUGGGAGAGACAUUUAGGUUAGCCAAGCAGGAUUGCGAGACCAUAUCACGGGGGUAAAUUCUGCCUUCCGGAGAAAUGUCUUUCACUUGAUCUUAAUUAUUUCCAGUCAAUGUUACUGUGAAAUUUGGUUGGGUCAGCAAGUUUUUAAAGCUUUAACAUGAUUUCCCACCCUCACCUUUUCUAAUUCUCUUAAAAAUUCUGUGUUGAAGGUUAAAAUUUCAUAUUUAAGAGGAAGAACCUUGACAUUUCUUCUCUCAUUUCUGAUCACAAAUGCAUUUUAUUUUUCUAUGCAGUCUCUCUCAUUAAAUGAGAGCCAGGUUUGCAUAAACCAGCUGUCUUUACAAAAGAUUACAAAUGAUACAAAUAUAUAUAAAAUCAUAACCACAGUUCUGUCUGUAGAGACAUGAAUCAAGCUCCCAUUUUGCCUAUUGUCAAAGCUAGAAAUCCUCCCUGCCAAAACACUUAGACCACCUUCAGCCUCAAUUUCAAAACACUCAUUAAUCUAUAUUGUAUGGUCAAAUAAUGCUCAAACUUGCCCAAGGAUUUAAGAAUCAGACUUGGAAUUCUGAGUAAAUCAUAGCUCUGAGUUCCUUGUGCAAUGAAAGAGACUUACAUGUUAUUAGAGGACAGAGGCUAAACCUUGUGCUGGUGGGGAACUGACAAAUAAAAAAAAACUUACUCUGCACAGAGUUGAUUGAAUACUGCCUUGUGCCCCAAAAUCAUUUUGUCAUGCUAUCACCUAUGAAAACCAAGGCUCACAUUCCUAUUUUACAGCAAUAUCAGAAUGAGGCCAAUGACUGCAAAGCAAUGUACAAGAGGUAUAUAUCCAGGCCCCAACUUAGCUUGCAAAAGCUGUCAAACUGUCUUUUAAAAGUGAGGAAAACAAUUCUGUAUUCUUCUAAUCAGCUGUUCCCAUACAUGGACUUUGCCAGGGCUCUAUACUACUUGCACCUUUUGUUUUUUUCCCCAUAUAUCUAGGUACAGAAGAUUUAGCCCUGGUGUCACAGUGCCAAGGCAAUAAAUGGUUGCAGUUUGGGUAGUGCUCUUCACCUGGGAAUCACACCUCUUCUAUAUUCCAAGGGAAUGGAGGCUGAGCUGAAACUAUCAACUUACACAACAGAAUUGUAUGAACAACUGGCUUAGGAUUUUAACACCACUGGAGAAACAACAACUCUGUUAUACAACCUUUCACUUAAACAUCUUUAAAAAUUCUGUAAAAUUAAAACCAAAAAUACAAAAAAGCAGUGGCAGGACUGUUAAUUGGAAAAAAAAAAAAAAAAAAAAAAAAAGAAAGUCACCAAAAGACAAUUUACAUGAAGAUUUUAAUUUAAUAUUGAAGGCUCCUUGAGGCACCACUUUAGGGAAUACUAUUUUUAAGUAGCUGAACAUUCUCUUCUGGUUGCAGAUAUUUCCUAUGUUUUUUACACUUAGAAUGAAAAAAGGCUCAGACAUCUUUGGAGACAAACAAUACAAAUAAAAGACAAAAAUCAGAAUAAAAAAUACAAUUUUAAUUGUAACCUUUUCAUUGCUUUUUCAUGCGUGUCAUUUGAAACAAUUAAGAAAUGGCAUUAUUAAAGUAGUCUAGUCUACAUUUUGGAUCAAUGCUAUGGAUCUUCCGGUGAGUUAUCUGUAUACCUGAAAGCAAAAUUUGUCUGCAUUGGGGUUGAUGCACAUGCUAUUGCUCAGUUUGACUUCAUCAGUAUUACUUACAGUAAUAAAGUUAAAUGCAAGUAUAAAUAUA
Rhea pennata is the source of this 2572-nucleotide long non-coding RNA. RefSeq lists it as uncharacterized. The record is from RefSeq and is a predicted model, not a curated record. NCBI's taxonomy places the organism in Eukaryota, Metazoa, Chordata, Aves, Rheiformes, Rheidae. The transcript is spliced from 2 exons.